CGUGCAUAGGGUCAAGUGCUAGUGCUAGUAUUGCUAAAUUGUUUGUUAUUUUGGUUGCUAGGAGACAUCUCUGUUGAAAACCGAACAUCGGCUGAGCAAAUAAGAGAAGUUUUGAAAGGAACGCAGACUCUUUAUUUAAUUGUUUUCUUCUUUUAAAAGUCUUAUGAAGGAAACAGCUGCUGUUGUCGUUUCUAUGGUAACACCGCCUCUAGUCAUUUACCACGAACUCCCGCGGAUUUAAAGAUUCUACAGAUCUUACUACUGAAUAUACUGAUGGAUUCUCGGAUCUCUGUGAAUUUAAGUCUAGGCCAGUUCGUUACCUCAUUGCUGGUUCUCAAGCAUGGUGUGUGGAAGGCCUGAGAAACAUCAGCUAGCUCCAAUAAGAAGAGCAAUGUCCACCUUAAAUGAUGAGCUACUAGACAUCACUCGGAAGGCUUUGCCAAACAUUGAUGAAAAGACCCAAGUAAAGCUUAUUUCUACACUAAAGAAGUGUGGUGUAGAAUUUAAAGGAGACUUGCAGUAUGGACGUCAAGAAGACAUUGAUGGCCUCUUGCCAGUUAUUCAACUUCACAAGUUACUGGAGGCAUUUAGAUUAGAGACAGAGACCGUGUCUCUGCAGUUAAUUUCUUGCCCGUCACUGAUGCCUGAUGCCUGGCCCAUCUUCACAUACCAGCCCAUCAACAAGUGCUUUCUUGUCAUGUCCUUCCGGCUCAUCACCUCACACAAACACAUCUUCAAUUUCAUCAUAUCCUGAGGUUGAUUGUACAGGCCCAAUAACUCUAUCUUCUUUCACUGUGUCCAAAUCAUGGCCCAAGACAUUUCAUUUCCCUUUGGAAAAAAUGCCCCAAGAAAUCCAUUCAGCAGUUUCUGCUGGGAGGAGGCCUUAGCCUCCAGAGAGGCGCCAAAUGGUAAGAAUCCUAGCGGAUGAGAUGUGCAAAUAUGAGCUUAACCCUUCACGAUCACACACCAUAUGUUUUCAUCACAUUCUGCACACAAGUGACAUGGAUGUGUAAGAUUUCAGCCUCAGAUCCCACCUGAAGAAACUGAACAGACACUGGAAAACAAGUGACUGAGACUAGAAGAAAUUUACAAAAAGGAGGGCAUGGGUGGAGUGGAGAGAGCAGAGGUGAUGAAUACAGUGGUGGCUACAUACUGCUGUCAACGACAGUAUAUUAAUGCAUCACCAUCCCCCUCCACUGAAGAAGUCAGGAGCCAAUGGCCUUAUCUUUUCCAUUUAGUCCAUCUUUACUCAUUUUCAACUCCUAACUGACAUUAAUGUUCUGCGUUCCCUGGAGCUUUCCAUGGAUCAAAGUGGAAGAUCAAUCAUUGAAUACUUUAACAAAUCAAAUGAUAAAAAUGUCAAAGCUCUCAGUCUCAUGCUGAGGAUGUUGAGGUGGAACUCCAUGUUGUGAAGUUACUGAUGGCACACUUUAAAGAAAACACAGAAGGACUACAGUAUUUUGCUGAUCUAAGGAAUCUGUUCUUUUCUGUACACCUCCAAAUUUUCUUUUUAAAUUGAAUAUUUAUUGGUUUUCAAAGGUAUUAUACAUACAAAUUGACACAAGUUAAGAGUAAUGGAGAAAUUGUAACACCUCCAGAUGUUAUUCUAACAUUUAUUUUAUUCCCUACAGGCAUCUGCCAGUGCAGUAGACAUUGAGAGGACCCUUAGUUGACCUGCAAGUCCUCAUCUCAUACUGCUUGUGUACUACGUUUUCAAUGUACAGUACCAGGAGGAGGCAUGCUGUGCACUGGAAUUCAUUCAGAGGCACUUUAUUGGUAUAAACCCAGAAAGGGAGUCUAAAACCAGCUGGGCCAAAGUGGUCUGAAAGAGGACUGGGUAAAUGGUCCUAAAGAAGACUGUCACAGUCAAUCCCCAUGACUUCACCCUACUGAAGAAACUCAUAGACUUUGAAUGGAGUUUCAUUUAGAGAAGUCAGCAGUAAGUUAAUAUUAUCUCUCUCUCUCUCUCUCUCUCUCUCUCUCUCACACACUCACACACACACUUACAUUGUCACCUAUAGUCAAACUCCAAUUCUCACAAUCUUUUGACAAACUCUCAUGCAUUCAUUGUGACGUCAUGCUGACAUUCAACUUAAAGGGCAAGUCUUGUUUUUGCUUAAUUUUUUUUAGCUGAUUUAUGUGAAUUUUGUUCUUGAACUUUAUUUCAGUUUGUAAUGCUGCCAUUUUAUUGUCAUUUUUGAUGCUGUAAUUUUGAUAUCUAAUGUUUUCAGUUGAAUGUAAUAUGGCAAAAACUCUGUUUAGACUAUUGAAGACUAUUUGUUGACAACCAAGUUUUAAAUAAAAAUGUA
Myxocyprinus asiaticus (Chinese sucker) is the source of this 2309-nucleotide long non-coding RNA. RefSeq lists it as uncharacterized. NCBI's taxonomy places the organism in Eukaryota, Metazoa, Chordata, Actinopteri, Cypriniformes, Catostomidae. The transcript has 7 exons. The record is from RefSeq and is a predicted model, not a curated record.